GCCAGGCCUGGUGGCACAUGCCUGUAAUCCUAGCUACUCCAGGGGCUGAGGUGGGAGGAUUACUUGAGCCCAGGAGUUCUGGGCUGCAGUGAGACAUGAUCUCACCACUGCACUCCAGCCUGGGCAACAGAGUGAGACCUUGUCUCUA
Molecule: signal recognition particle RNA, 148 nt
Filed under: Pongo abelii (Sumatran orangutan)
Lineage: Eukaryota; Metazoa; Chordata; Mammalia; Primates; Hominidae
Description: Metazoan signal recognition particle RNA (ENSPPYG00000039937.1)
Rfam family: Metazoan signal recognition particle RNA
About the family: The signal recognition particle (SRP) is a universally conserved ribonucleoprotein.
Source: Rfam by way of RNAcentral